AUGCCUAGCCCUAAAUCUCGAUGUCUCCAACACAUAAGACAUCCGCCCGAGAACUACGAGCACAAACGCUUAAAACUCUAAGGACUUGGCGGUGCCCUAAACCCACCUAGAGGAGCCUGUUCUAUAAUCGAUAACCCACGAUACACCCAACCACUUCUUGCCAAAACAGCCUACAUACCGCCGUCACAGCCCACCUCUAUGAGAGCACAACAGCGAGCCCAACAGCCCACCAACCCCGCUAGUAAGACAGGUCAAGGUAUAGCCCACGAAGUGGAAGAAAUGGGCUACAUUUCCUAAAAUAGUAAAACCCAACGAAAAGGGGCCUGAAACCUACCCCUAGAAGGCGGAUUUAGCAGUAAGAAGAGACAAUCAUGCUCUCCUUAAAACGGUCCUAGGGCACGUACAUA
This 407-nucleotide ribosomal RNA is filed under the name Eclectus roratus (Eclectus parrot). RNAcentral describes it as "partial 12S ribosomal RNA". It matches the Rfam family "Bacterial small subunit ribosomal RNA", at positions 792 to 1389 of the family's 1533-position model. The record is from RNAcentral. Lineage: Eukaryota; Metazoa; Chordata; Aves; Psittaciformes; Psittacidae.